GAUGAACGCUGGCGGCGUGCCUAAUACAUGCAAGUCGAGCGAACGGACGAGAAGCUUGCUUCUCUGAUGUUAGCGGCGGACGGGUGAGUAACACGUGGAUAACCUACCUAUAAGACUGGGAUAACGUCGGGAAACCGGAGCUAAUACCGGAUAAUAUUUUGAACCGCAUGGUUCAAAAGUGAAAGACGGUCUUGCUGUCACUUAUAGAUGGAUCCGCGCUGCAUUAGCUAGUUGGUAAGGUAACGGCUUACCAAGGCAACGAUGCAUAGCCGACCUGAGAGGGUGAUCGGCCACACUGGAACUGAGACACGGUCCAGACUCCUACGGGAGGCAGCAGUAGGGAAUCUUCCGCAAUGGGCGAAAGCCUGACGGAGCAACGCCGCGUGAGUGAUGAAGGUCUUCGGAUCGUAAAACUCUGUUAUUAGGGAAGAACAUAUGUGUAAGUAACUGUGCACAUCUUGACGGCACCUAAUCAGAAAGCCACGGCUAACUACGUG
RNAcentral lists this ribosomal RNA (497 nucleotides) under uncultured bacterium. RNAcentral's name for it is "partial 16S ribosomal RNA". It matches the Rfam family "Bacterial small subunit ribosomal RNA", at positions 28 to 507 of the family's 1533-position model. The record is from RNAcentral.